Molecule: ribosomal RNA, 2522 nt
Filed under: Klebsiella pneumoniae
Lineage: Bacteria; Pseudomonadati; Pseudomonadota; Gammaproteobacteria; Enterobacterales; Enterobacteriaceae
Description: partial 23S ribosomal RNA
Source: RNAcentral
UUAAGCGACUAAGCGUACACGGUGGAUGCCCUGGCAGUCAGAGGCGAUGAAGGACGUGCUAAUCUGCGAAAAGCGUCGGUAAGGUGAUAUGAACCGUUAUAACCGGCGAUGUCCGAAUGGGGAAACCCAGUGCAAUUCGUUGCACUAUCGUUAACUGAAUACAUAGGUUAACGAGGCGAACCGGGGGAACUGAAACAUCUAAGUACCCCGAGGAAAAGAAAUCAACCGAGAUUCCCCCAGUAGCGGCGAGCGAACGGGGAGCAGCCCAGAGUCUGAAUCAGCUUGUGUGUUAGUGGAACGGUCUGGAAAGUCCGACGGUACAGGGUGAUAGUCCCGUACACCAAAAUGCACAGGUUGUGAACUCGAAGAGUAGGGCGGGACACGUGGUAUCCUGUCUGAAUAUGGGGGGACCAUCCUCCAAGGCUAAAUACUCCUGACUGACCGAUAGUGAACCAGUACCGUGAGGGAAAGGCGAAAAGAACCCCGGCGAGGGGAGUGAAAAAGAACCUGAAACCGUGUACGUACAAGCAGUGGGAGCACCUUCGGGUGUGACUGCGUACCUUUUGUAUAAUGGGUCAGCGACUUAUAUUCUGUAGCAAGGUUAACCGUAUAGGGGAGCCGCAGGGAAACCGAGUCUUAACUGGGCGUUAAGUUGCAGGGUAUAGACCCGAAACCCGGUGAUCUAGCCAUGGGCAGGUUGAAGGUUGGGUAACACUAACUGGAGGACCGAACCGACUAAUGUUGAAAAAUUAGCGGAUGACUUGUGGCUGGGGGUGAAAGGCCAAUCAAACCGGGAGAUAGCUGGUUCUCCCCGAAAGCUAUUUAGGUAGCGCCUCGUGAAYUCAUCUUCGGGGGUAGAGCACUGUUUCGGCUAGGGGGUCAUCCCGACUUACCAACCCGAUGCAAACUACGAAUACCGAAGAAUGUUAUCACGGGAGACACACGGCGGGUGCUAACGUCCGUCGUGAAGAGGGAAACAACCCAGACCGCCAGCUAAGGUCCCAAAGUCAUGGUUAAGUGGGAAACGAUGUGGGAAGGCACAGACAGCCAGGAUGUUGGCUUAGAAGCAGCCAUCAUUUAAAGAAAGCGUAAUAGCUCACUGGUCGAGUCGGCCUGCGCGGAAGAUGUAACGGGGCUAAACCAUGCACCGAAGCUGCGGCAGCGACACUAUGUGUUGUUGGGUAGGGGAGCGUUCUGUAAGCCUGCGAAGGUGWSCUGUGAGGSWUGCUGGAGGUAUCAGAAGUGCGAAUGCUGACAUAAGUAACGAUAAAGCGGGUGAAAAGCCCGCUCGCCGGAAGACCAAGGGUUCCUGUCCAACGUUAAUCGGGGCAGGGUGAGUCGACCCCUAAGGCGAGGCCGAAAGGCGUAGUCGAUGGGAAACAGGUUAAUAUUCCUGUACUUGGUGUUACUGCGAAGGGGGGACGGAGAAGGCUAUGUUAGCCGGGCGACGGUUGUCCCGGUUUAAGCAUGUAGGCUGRUURUCCAGGCAAAUCCGGAUAAUCAAGGCUGAGGUGUGAUGACGAGGCACUACGGUGCUGAAGUAACAAAUGCCCUGCUUCCAGGAAAAGCCUCUAAGCAUCAGGUAACAUYAAAUCGUACCCCAAACCGACACAGGUGGUCAGGUAGAGAAUACCAAGGCGCUUGAGAGAACUCGGGUGAAGGAACUAGGCAAAAUGGUGCCGUAACUUCGGGAGAAGGCACGCUGGUGUGUAGGUGAAGYCCCUGCGGRUGGAGCUGAGACCAGUCGAAGAUACCAGCUGGCUGCAACUGUUUAUUAAAAACACAGCACUGUGCAAACACGAAAGUGGACGUAUACGGUGUGACGCCUGCCCGGUGCCGGAAGGUUAAUUGAUGGGGUUAUCCGUAAGGAGAAGCUCUUGAUCGAAGCCCCGGUAAACGGCGGCCGUAACUAUAACGGUCCUAAGGUAGCGAAAUUCCUUGUCGGGUAAGUUCCGACCUGCACGAAUGGCGUAAUGAUGGCCAGGCUGUCUCCACCCGAGACUCAGUGAAAUUGAACUCGCUGUGAAGAUGCAGUGUACCCGCGGCAAGACGGAAAGACCCCGUGAACCUUUACUAUAGCUUGACACUGAACAUUGAGCCUUGAUGUGUAGGAUAGGUGGGAGGCUUUGAAGCGUGGACGCCAGUCUGCGUGGAGCCAACCUUGAAAUACCACCCUUUAAUGUUUGAUGUUCUAACGUUGGCCCCUKACCGGGGUUGCGGACAGUGUCUGGUGGGUAGUUUGACUGGGGCGGUCUCCUCCCAAAGCGUAACGGAGGAGCACGAAGGUUAGCUAAUCCUGGUCGGACAUCAGGAGGUUAGUGCAAUGGCAUAAGCUAGCUUGACUGCGAGCGUGACGGCGCGAGCAGGUGCGAAAGCAGGUCAUAGUGAUCCGGUGGUUCUGAAUGGAAGGGCCAUCGCUCAACGGAUAAAAGGUACUCCGGGGAUAACAGGCUGAUACCGCCCAAGAGUUCAUAUCGACGGCGGUGUUUGGCACCUCGAUGUCGGCUCAUCACAUCCUGGGG